AUUUUCUUCUGUGUCAUCUACCUGAUGGGAGGCCAUUCGGUCCCAAACAGCAAGACCUUUGUGGUGUUCUAUCUGCUAGCAGGCCUGAUCCAGGUGACAAUCCUGCUGUACCUGGCAGAAGUGAUGGUUCGGCUGACGUGGCACCAUGCCCUGGAUCCAGACAACCACUGUAUCCCGUACCUCACAGGGCUGGGGGACCUCCUAGGAACUGGCCUCCUGGCACUCUGCUUUCUUAUCAACUGGUUAUUGAGGAGCAAGGCAGAGCUGGUUGGCGUCUCUGAACCGCUGUCAGGACCUCCCUAAUUAGCCCAGGCAGCCCCAGUUCAGUGGGGUACAGAAUGCAGCUUCUCCCUGGCCGAGUCCUCAGGAAGAUGAACACCUGCUCUGCAGGGGCCCUUGUCACUCAGCUGAGGAGGCUCGCACACACCUUGAAUCUGCAGCUGGAACCUGAGCCCGUGACGGAGGCCUGAAAUCACAAGCAUUGUCUGUGAGUGUGUGAGUGUGACUGCGUGCGCCUGGGCAUGAGUGUGUGCCCACAUGCUGGGUGUGGGAGUGGGUGUGCAUGUGUUUGGAGAACAGGGCACUCUGGCCUGAAGAUGCUGAAGGAAGAGGAAUGUCCAGUGCACAUUGGGGGAUGUGGGGGCGCUGUUUGUGCCCGUGCAGCGGGCAUUGUGGUGGGGCAGGAAGGAGAGCUGUUGUGUGUCCAAGCCUCAGGACUCUAAACCACGGCUUAACUGAUGUCUUCACUAGGUCCAGCUCCAUGGGCCACUCUGCUGCUGUGUCCUGCAAAUGUGCGCACCCCUUCCCAGGACGGGCGUUGCACAACCCUCAUCUGUUCCCAGCAUUUAAUCUUGUCACUGCUUUUUUUUUUUCUUUUUCUUUUAGCAAAAACCUCUGUUUAGAUUUUAAUGAUCAGAGAAGUAUGAAAUAAAACGUAGAUUAUAUUGUA
Ceratotherium simum simum (southern white rhinoceros) is the source of this 949-nucleotide non-coding RNA. Lineage: Eukaryota; Metazoa; Chordata; Mammalia; Perissodactyla; Rhinocerotidae. The record is from RefSeq and is a predicted model, not a curated record.